RNAcentral lists this long non-coding RNA (2235 nucleotides) under Helianthus annuus (common sunflower). RNAcentral's name for it is "hypothetical non coding rna". Lineage: Eukaryota; Viridiplantae; Streptophyta; Magnoliopsida; Asterales; Asteraceae. The record is from RNAcentral.
AUCAGACGCAACAUCAGAGACGCACGAACAGAUCAUCUUGGACGGUUUUGAGAGCAGUUUUUACAAGAAUUAAGAGCAGGGAAUCGUUGGAGUAAAGCGGGAAGCACGCGGAACGAAGAUUAACGGGUUUUACCACUCUAAUUUAUCUUGUUCUUAGUUUUUCUUGUUUAACUCAAUGAAUUCUUGUUUGAGACCUUGUGUUUUUAUUUUUAAAACCAUGAUUUCCGGCUAAAACUCUCAUACUACCUAGGCAUGACAAUAGUUAAAUAAAGGUUGGAUUUUUAUUUGGUUUUUGGCGUGGUUGUGGAUCUUUCUUGUACUGUAAAAACUAUGGGAAUUUAAUUUGGUGCAUAUGCGUGCUUGUGAUUGUUUGAUUAUUGUUUAUUGCUUCGUUCGAUUCUUGGUGACGGUCUUUAUCACGGAAUAGAGUCGGGCUAGGGUUUUAGGUUUUGGUGAGUGUCUAUAUCACAUAAUAACUCUCUAAUCCUUUAGGGUGAAAAUCUGAUAAGUAACCUUAGAAGUAAUAUUCGGUAAUUUAAUAAAAUCAAGUGUGCUGCUAAACUCGUCGCUGUGAGGCUCGAGGAUAUUAAUAGGUCUCAGUUUGGUUAUAAGGACUUAACAUUCCAUUGUCUAUUAAGCCAAGAUUAAAACCCAUUGUCGCUUUAGACGUUCGCGCUGAAAGGUAGAGCGUCUUACAUAAGCACUUUCAAGAAACUAGAGGACGGAAAAGAAAUCUAGAAAACCGGUGAGCGUAACAGCCUAGGUAGUGCCAUAAGAAUCACCUUGAGAGUGUUUGAGGGGCUUAGUGGUGUCUUAAUAGGUUUAGUAUCCAAAGAUCCCGGUUCCACACCACAAAAUCAUCGAAUAGAGAUCCAUUCUGAGUUUAUAUUGCGUCUAGCCUAGGUAGUCUUCAUCAUCUCUGGUCAAAACCUUCGUUCGAGUUCGCGUCUAGUUAGUAUAAUUUUAAUUAUAUUUUUAGGAUAUAUAGAAAAACCUCCCCCAUCAAAUAAACAAUUAGUUAAGUCCGUGUCAGUCUAAGUCUAGAUAGAGUCGUUAGCGUAUUCAUUAGAGUCUCUUGGGUUCGAUACUCGGACUUCUUUAGGCUAUACUGCAUCGAUCGGUACACUUGCCGGUCGUGUGGUUUAGGUUUUAGAGAUUCUUAGUUUUAUAAAUUUAAAACUUAGAGAGUCUAGUUUAGGGUUUAAUUUAGUUAAUUUAGUUAAACCACUUUUAGCACAUCAAUUAUCAUCUGAUUUUCACUUCGAUUUUCAUAUGAUUUUAUAAAAGAAAAUAGUUUUACAAGGUUCAUGACUAGUUUUGUUAAACAUUUCUUUUGAUUACAAGUCUUGAAUCUUUCAUCAUCAAAACCUAUGUAUCUCACAGGCAUUUAUAUGCUGACGUACCUAUUUUCACAUGUGUUUCAGGUGCUAAUGUUUGAAUUGAUCAUGCUACACUUAGGCGGACUUGGGCCUUAGUGACUUAAAAGACAGUUUAAUUAUGUUAUGUUUUCGUUAAUGCAAAGACAAUGUAAACAAUUUACUUAAUAAUAAAAAACUUGAAUUACCAUGUUUGUGGAAUAAUAAUUCUGUCGCUCCACUCCCCGACGUCUCCGCCGCGGUUUAUUUUUUUACGCGGUCGGGGUGUGACAAAUACGACAGCUCCGAUGAUGAUUCCAGAACAUGACGACAACUCCGACGAUGAUGAUUUAGGAAAACCAAGCUAACAGCCGGUGACUCAUGAGAAAUCGACAUCUUCAAAAAAAUAAUAAAAGCUGGUGGUGGCCGGAGGUGUGUGGUGGGUGGUGGUGGGUGGUGGUGGCCGGAGCCGUACCGCGAGUGGUGGUGGCCGGAGAUGUAAUGUCAUCUUAUAUAUAGUGUAUUUUUCAAGUAUUAGCUGUUUGAAUAUUAAUUAUCACUCUACUAAGUGUAUUUUUUAAAAUUGUUUGCAACUAUAAAAAAAUAAAAUUAAAGAGUUUUUUUUUUUUUAAAAAAAAAAAGAUGAUAUGUGACCUUGAAAAGUGCAGUGAGAAAUUAUCAGUUUAUGGGAAUCUAAAAAAUUGACUUGUGAGAAAAAAGUUUAAAAAAAGUCGACUUCGGGGUCUAUUUAACACAACCCUAAAAAAUUUUUUGAAAUAUUUUUUUUUUGAAACUACCACCUGUUUUUACUUGUGCCAUCGCUUUUGAAGCACUUAUAGACGAAAUGUUUGGCAAUUUGAAUAAGGUGGAAUACUCUUAG